GAUGAGCGCUGGCGGCGUGCCUAAUACAUGCAAGUCGAGCGAACGGACGAGAAGCUUGCUUUUCUGAUGUUAGCGGCGGACGGGUGAGUAACACGUGGAUAACCUACCUAUAAGACUGGGAUAACUUCGGGAACCGGAGCUAAUACCGGAUAAUAUUUUGAACCGCAUGGUUCAAAAGUGAAAGACGGUCUUGCUGUCACUUAUAGAUGGAUCCGCGCUGCAUUAGCUAGUUGGUAAGGUAACGGCUUACCAAGGCAACGAUGCAUAGCCGACCUGAGAGGGUGAUCGGCCACACUGGAACUGGGACACGGUCCAGACUCCUACGGGAGGCAGCAGUAGGGAAUCUUCCGCAAUGGGCGAAAGCCUGACGGAGCAACGCCGCGUGAGUGAUGAAGGUCUUCGGAUCGUAAAACUCUGUUAUUAGGGAAGAACAUAUGUGUAAGUAACUGUGCACAUCUUGGCGGUACCUAAUCAGAAAGCCACGGCUAACUACGUG
This 496-nucleotide ribosomal RNA is filed under the name uncultured bacterium. RNAcentral's name for it is "partial 16S ribosomal RNA". It matches the Rfam family "Bacterial small subunit ribosomal RNA", at positions 28 to 507 of the family's 1533-position model. The record is from RNAcentral.